This is a non-coding RNA of Solanum lycopersicum (tomato), 1141 nucleotides long. NCBI's taxonomy places the organism in Eukaryota, Viridiplantae, Streptophyta, Magnoliopsida, Solanales, Solanaceae. The record is from RefSeq and is a predicted model, not a curated record.
UCUGCAUUGUAUUUCUAAGAGUUGUUCUUGGAUGAUGAGGGCAUCUAGUUUGAAUAAAUCUAGUUUAUUCAAAGUACGGAAGUAUAUUGCUCAGCAUACAUGUUGUGUUAGAGAAAGAGUUUAUGCCAGACGUCAAGGGAUAACUGACGUUGUAGCUGUAUUGAUAAUGGAUAAUUAUAUUGAUCCAUCUAAGGUAUAUACUCCAAAAGAUGUAGCUGAUGAUAUGUUGAAAUUGCAUGGUGUUUCGUUGACAUACAUACAGACAUGGAGAGCUAAAGAAAAAUAAGUAAAGUUGGUGCGAGGAGAUCCAGCAGAAUCUUAUGCAAGAUUACCUGGUUAUUUUUACAUUUUGGAGCAAACAUAUCCAGGAUCUGUUUUGAAAAUAAAAAGGAAUGAAGAUGAUACAUUUUUAUAUGCAUUUGUUGCUUUAGAAGCAUGUAUUAGGGGCUGGGAAUAUUGUAGGCCAAUUGUUGUUGUUGAUGGUGCUGCAUUAAAAUGUUCAUAUGGUGGUACAAUGUUAACUGCAAGCACAUUGGAUCCGGGAGGUCAUAUACUUCCGUUGGCGCAUGCGAUAGUAGAUUCUGAAAAUGAUGCUUCAUGGACAUGGUUCUUUGAGCAAUUUAGAGAAGCAUAUGGAGUUAGACAAAAUAUGUGUUUUAUGUCAGACAGAAAUGAAAGCAUAUGGAAAGGGACAACAAAUGUAUAUCCUGAAUCAGAACAUUAUGCAUGCAUAUGACAUUUAUCAGUCAAUGUUUUGAAGAAUUUCAAUAGAAAUACUGAAGAUUUGAAGAUGUUGUUCUUUUCAUUGGCAAAAGCUUAUAAAAAACAACAGUUUGAGACAAUUAUGGGAAGAAUAGAUCAGAUAGAUACGCGAAUACGGCCAUACUUGUUUGAUAUUGGUUAUAGCAAAUGGUCAAGAGCUUACUUGAAUUGUAAGCGCACAUGGACGAUGACUUCAAACAUCGCGGAGUCAUUGAAUAAUGUUAACAGAUUAGCACGGAGGUUACCGGUGAUUUCACUUCUUGAGUUUAUGAGGGUGACAAUUCAGAGGUGGAUUCACAAGCAUAAUGAGGAGGCUGAUAAGACUACAUCUAAUCUGACAAAAAAAUAUGAUGUUUAUCUACAGAAAAGUGUUACGUUG